RNAcentral lists this unclassified non-coding RNA (303 nucleotides) under Hevea brasiliensis (rubber tree). Lineage: Eukaryota; Viridiplantae; Streptophyta; Magnoliopsida; Malpighiales; Euphorbiaceae. The record is from RNAcentral.
CUUUGAUCUUGUGAUGCAGACAACAAAGACUGGGACUCGGGAUUCAGAAUCUUGUCUUAGAGAGCAGACUUGCCUUCCAUUGGGUGGGUACAGUGUCUGGUCAGCGCUACCACCAAUAAAUACCUCGUCGUCAAAGAAGGCAAAACCGAUGAUAUUGACUGUGGCUUCUAUGGAUGCGGCUUCCUUUUUUCGUGACGUAAGCAUUGGUGCAGAUUCACCUAUAUCUGGGUUGAUCUCAUUGCUAGCUGUGGUGGAUGCUCUUUCACGUGUUGAUGGCUUGGGGGACCUUGAUAAACAGCUUGG